AUCGACGGGGAGGUUUGGCACCUCGAUGUCGGCUCAUCGCAUCCUGGGGCUGUAGUCGGUCCCAAGGGUUGGGCUGUUCGCCCAUUAAAGCGGUACGCGAGCUGGGUUCAGAACGUCGUGAGACAGUUCGGUCCCUAUCCGUCGUGGGCGUAGGAAAUUUGAGAGGAGCUGUCCUUAGUACGAGAGGACCGGGAUGGACGCACCGCUGGUGUACCAGUUGUUCUGCCAAGGGCAUAGCUGGGUAGCUAUGUGCGGAAGGGAUAAGUGCUGAAAGCAUCUAAGCAUGAAGCCCCCCUCAAGAUGAGAUUUCCCAUAGCGUAAGCUAGUAAGAUCCCUGAAAGAUGAUCAGGUUGAUAGGUUCGAGGUGGAAGCAUGGUGACAUGUGGAGCUGACGAAUACUAAUAGAUCGAGGACUUAACCAU
Molecule: ribosomal RNA, 422 nt
Filed under: Bacillus anthracis str. A0465
Lineage: Bacteria; Bacillati; Bacillota; Bacilli; Caryophanales; Bacillaceae
Description: bacterial LSU rRNA
Rfam family: Bacterial large subunit ribosomal RNA
Source: RNAcentral